Long non-coding RNA from Megalopta genalis, 1569 nucleotides. RefSeq lists it as uncharacterized. The record is from RefSeq and is a predicted model, not a curated record. Lineage: Eukaryota; Metazoa; Arthropoda; Insecta; Hymenoptera; Halictidae.
UAAUUCUGUAAUUUUGAUUUAUUUUUUAUGCACAUGUCCGUGAUGUCACAAGACAACAGUUUAGCCAUUUUUACGCACCGUUAUAACAAAUUGAGAUUCAACCACCCCUGAACAGGCGUCGGGGUCAAGACGGUGCUAUCUAGGAGGAAGACGGCGUUCUCGCGAGACUGACCCAUCUUUGCUGGUGUCGACGAUACCGGCGAGCAGAUUGACAGAGUCAGGGUUGUAGUCUGGGUCAGUGUAGAGGCCAAGGUAGCUUCGCACGAAGUCGGACGGGGUCAUGAACCGCUCGCCAUUCUUCUCCUGCGAUGCGUACUACGAUUCGCCGAGAAAAAGAAAGGAAAGCUUCGUUAUCAACCGAUCGAUCGGAGCGAGACAAAGAGAUAAAACAACAAGAAGUAACGUGCAAGUCUGGUUUCUCACCUGAUUGAAGAUUUCAUGGAGGCGUUCAGUGUGCGCACGCUUUAGAUAUCCGGAACCCUGGAACCAAAAGCGAUAACGAUCAGAAAAAUUCCUUUCCCCCCGCUUCGGCUUUCUGUUCGUCGUCCACGGCCCUCGUCACCCGGACGAAGCAGCUCGGGCGAAAAGCAGAUUGGAAAUUAAAACGAAGCCUCUCCGGGCUGCAACGUCCACCGGCAUCGUCUAUAAUCCAUGCCGUUUUUCCGGGUGACCUCGUAAAACGACGAUUUAUAGCUCGCGCUAUUUUCACGAAUCCCUAUGAACCGUGGACGGGUUAUCUGCGAUAACGCGUUAUCGCGAGGCCGAUAGCGAAAAAGGCUGCAAUUCGCUCGCGAGAUUGCGCUUCUGUUCAAAGACGUUGCUGGCGAACAUGCCGCCGGACGAAUUACACAGUCUCUUUAACAUGUUCGGAAUUCUUUUUAUAGAAAUGCUCCGAAGAUCUUAUCGUCGGUUUUCUUUUUAGAGACUCUGUAGAAUCGUUCUACGCAAGUUCUUGUAACUUUCACAAGAACUAAACCUACCGAGCACAAAAAGCGAUCGACGUUUGCUCUUCUAUAAGAACGACAAGACUGGAUUCCCGUAGUCGUUCCAUCAAUCUUUUUUCUCUAUUUUUUUUUCGACGCGUGUAACUUAGAAGAUCCAAUCGAUCGAUUCCGAUAAAAGAGUGUUCGCAACACGUCUACGAUCUGAAAACAUUGUAAGAAACGUGAAACCGGGCAGAACGACCUGACCGUCGUGGUCGUUCGUUGAAUCGCUGGGUUUAUUUACUCCUUUUAAAAAAUGCUCGAAUUCCGUUGAUCGUAGACGGCGAUUGUACUCGGUCUAUACUUAGAAGCGCGAUACGUUUGCACGAACAUGCCGGCACACUUUUAAGAUUUUCUUUCGACGAGAGCCGCAGGUUCAGCCGCUCAAGGACGAACGACGGUGUUGUGUAAUAAAGCGAUAAAGAAAGUUCGGCCGCCGCCGCCGCCGCCGCCGCCGCCGCCGCGAUAACAGGAUAUCGAGAUCUGCUGGCAGAAUUACGCGACGCUCCGAUCGUUAUCUAACCGAGGAACGUGUUCUAUUCGAGUACUCCAGGCUAUCGGGAAAGGUUGCAAUUGGCCCGAAGAU